This 285-nucleotide ribosomal RNA is filed under the name Triticum aestivum (bread wheat). RNAcentral describes it as "partial small subunit ribosomal RNA". The record is from RNAcentral. Lineage: Eukaryota; Viridiplantae; Streptophyta; Magnoliopsida; Poales; Poaceae.
AUGAUAAAGGAAAAAGAACCUGUGACGGCCCGAGGUGUUGGUUCGAGUGGUCCUCACCCACACUGGUCUAAGGCGCCACCCGAGGGCUACGCAAAGAUACAUGUUGAUGCAGGUGUGCUAACGGGGCGAGGAGGAGCUGCGGCAGCGGUCUGCCAGGACAGACAAGGAAAUUAUCUUGGCAGUUCUUCACUAGUGAUUGGAGGAAUUGAUGAUCCAACUUCACUGGAAACUAUUGUAGGCAAAGAAGCCAUUGCAUUGACGUCAAGCAAGUUGUGGAAAACAUAA